GACGAACCGUGCGAACGUUAUUCGGAAUCAUUGGGCUUAAAGAGCGCGUAGGCGGCGUCGUAAGUUGGAGGUGAAAUCCCAUCGGCUCAACCGUGGAACUGCCCCCAAUACUGCGAUGCUCGAGGGAGGUAGGGGCACGUGGAACUUUCAGUGGAGCGGUGAAAUGCGUUGAGAUUGGAAGGAACGCCAGUGGCGAAAGCGACGUGCUGGAUCUCUACUGACGCUGAGGCGCGAAAGCUAGGGGAGCGAACGGG
RNAcentral lists this ribosomal RNA (254 nucleotides) under uncultured bacterium. Its description in RNAcentral is "partial 16S ribosomal RNA". It matches the Rfam family "Bacterial small subunit ribosomal RNA", at positions 524 to 776 of the family's 1533-position model. The record is from RNAcentral.